UACGGGGGGGGCAAGCGUUGUUCGGAAUUACUGGGCGUAAAGGGCGCGUAGGCGGCCAACUAAGUCAGACGUGAAAUCCCUUGGCUCAACCAGGGAACUGCGUCUGAUACUGGAUGGCUUGAGUUCGGGAGAGGGAAGUGGAAUUCCAGGUGUAGCGGUGAAAUGCGUAGAUAUCUGGAGGAACACCGGUGGCGAAGGCGGCUUCCUGGACCGACACUGACGCUGAGGCGCGAAAGCCAGGGGAGCAAACGGG
RNAcentral lists this ribosomal RNA (253 nucleotides) under uncultured bacterium. RNAcentral's name for it is "partial 16S ribosomal RNA". It matches the Rfam family "Bacterial small subunit ribosomal RNA", at positions 524 to 776 of the family's 1533-position model. The record is from RNAcentral.